Long non-coding RNA from Microplitis mediator, 1448 nucleotides. RefSeq lists it as uncharacterized. The transcript is spliced from 5 exons. The record is from RefSeq and is a predicted model, not a curated record. Lineage: Eukaryota; Metazoa; Arthropoda; Insecta; Hymenoptera; Braconidae.
GACUCAGGCGCUGCAGUGGCGACUGUCGGAACCCACAAGCGCAGUAGAGAGCAGCUUUGCUGUUCCGCGACGCAGGUCUAGAACUCAUUGUCGACCGUUAACACUGCACCUCCUCGAAAUAAUCAGUUUAUUUAUCACACAACUCAGUAUUUCCUGUCUAAUUAUUUUAAACAAAUUCUUAAGUGGUCACUACACAGUUUAAAAUAAUAAAUAAAGUGUCAGAGUACGUAAGCUUUCGAAUAAAUUAAAUUCAGUGCCGGCUUUUGACUUCGCGUCGCGUUCUACAAUAGGUUCGUUGUCGUCAGUUAAAUACACGAAUAAAACGUGUGUUUAGGUUAUUAAUUUGUGAGAGUGCUUGUGACAGGCCGGCCAGCAGUAAAAAUGGCGGCAAAAGCUCCAAAUUCAAAACAAAAAAAAAUCCAAAAAUAUAUUGAUAUCAAAACAAUGGAAUCCGAUGAAGCAACAGCUAGACAUCAUGGAACGAACAUAGCCGCCAAGAGGGAAAUUCAAAUUUUAAAAAACUGCCAUCAGCGCUGAAGCUUACAGAAGUCGCCACUAAAAUAUCCAUUGUGUUCAACAUCCACUGGUCAAGACGGUCAAAACCACCUUGUACAUAAAUUUUUCCGAUUUUUUAUUGAUGACGAUAAGUUGUUCAGAAAAUUUUGAUAAUGUUGCCAUCAAGAAAGUCAAGAAUAACUAGAUUUGCUUCCAGACAGAGUGGAUUCAGCAGCGGGAAAUUUAUAAUAACGUCCGCCAAGAAACCGAAAGAAUUGUCUGCUGGUCUGGAUGUUUCUCGGCGUGGUAAGUGAACUCAAUUUUUCAAAUUUAUAAUUUUUCACAGUUAAAUAUUUUUAUCAAUUUAACAAAAUUGUUAAACUAUUUAAAGCCGAGCUUCAAUGCUUGACUUAUAUUAACCCCUUUUAUUAUUAUCACUCUCUAAGUACAAAAGAAAACAUUUUUACACGGAGAAAAAUGCAGGUCAAAAUUAAAUAAUAAUUACAACCACAAUGAAAAAUUUGCUAUCUUAAAUAAAAAAUUACAAUCCAUAAAAAAAAUUACGAUGAUUUGCAGAGAAGUAAUUUUUUAUUUCAAUUAUUACUAUCUAGAUUGUAAUUUUCACUUAUGAUAAUAAUUACAAUAAAGCUUCGUUAAAUUAUCGCUUGAAAAAAAUCAAUAUUUACUUAUUCAUAUAAAAAUACUUCAAUCUUACAAAAAGUAGUAAUUGUUGUUGGAAUUAUUAAAAGUUGGUACAUUAGUCGCAAUUUUUGUUUCGUAGUUGAUAAAUAUUACAUUUCCAAUGUAAUUUUACGUAGGUAAAGUACAUUUUAGAAUGUCGGUAAGACAAAUUGCUACUCCGGAAGAUAGAAUUACUAUUUGAGAUUGGAAAUACUACUAUCUGAAUUGUAAAAAUUACUUGCCAGAAUACAUCUUUCACAAAGCGCACUAAC